CUUCGUACCCAACUUUAAAAAAAAAAGGGGACGAGUUCCAGACUCCAGUGAUUUGGAACUUUGUUCUUUAUUUAUGAAAUUAAGCCCAACCUCUUUGUUUUGGCCCAAUAUCCCAAAAUCGGACGUGGAGCUCAGGAAGAACGACCCAUCGAACAGGAACAUAUAAACUACGGUUGAGGUACUGUUGGGGACCACGGAAACGAGUAGUGGCGAGGAUUUCACUAUUACAAAGUUCACCUAAGUUAAUGUUAAGUUGUAACAAGUUUAAGUACAGAUUCUUGAUUAAGUUACGUACUUUUAUUAAGGAAACAAAAAGGAUUAUUAUGUUAAUUUUGGAAUUUAAUAGCUUAUGAUAGAUGGUUUCCUUGUAAUUCCCAAAAGGGAGUUACGGCAGUAAUGUCCCGACCAAAUUAGGUUAAUUCCGCUGCUAAGUAUGCUUUAAUAAGUGAUUUAGAGGUCGGGGUGUUACAAUCACCUACUUUAACAAUCAACCAACACUAUCACUCCCUAAGUCAAAGAAUUAAACCUGAUAAUCCGAGUCUCUGAAACUGGAAGAAAUUAAGAAACCUCAAAAUUAACUUUGAGCAAGUGAGUCAAUCAUCAAUCGACUGCUACUGAACUGAUGCAUAUUAAUUAACAUUGACAUUGUGUAGUUAAGAACUUGAGAUAUUGUAAUUUGGGCGAGUUUAGUACUUUAAACUGUAAAGUGUUUAAGGAAAGACAAAUUUGAUUUUUUGGAGAUAUUGUUCGAUAAAAAGUUGGGGUUUUGAAUUUGGAGAAUUUUCGACUUGGUAAUCAAUUCAUACCAAUUAGGUUUC
Molecule: long non-coding RNA, 818 nt
Organism: Spinacia oleracea (spinach)
Lineage: Eukaryota; Viridiplantae; Streptophyta; Magnoliopsida; Caryophyllales; Amaranthaceae
Exons: 3
Source: RefSeq, a predicted model, not a curated record